UCCCUGGUGGCUGAGUCAGUAAAGAAUCCGCCUACAAUGCAGGAGACCCAGGUUCGAUUCCUGAAUUGGGAA
RNAcentral lists this transfer RNA (72 nucleotides) under Ovis aries (sheep). It matches the Rfam family "tRNA". From Rfam's summary of the family: Transfer RNA (tRNA) molecules are approximately 80 nucleotides in length. Their secondary structure includes four short double-helical elements and three loops (D, anti-codon, and T loops). The record is from Rfam by way of RNAcentral. Lineage: Eukaryota; Metazoa; Chordata; Mammalia; Artiodactyla; Bovidae.